AUACGGAGGAUCCGAGCGUUAUCCGGAUUUAUUGGGUUUAAAGGGUGCGCAGGCGGCCAUUUAAGUCAGCGGUUAAAUCGUGGGGCUCAACCCCAUUCUGCCGUUGAUACUGGGUGGCUUGAUUGCGGUCGAGGUUGGCGGAAUUCGUUGUGUAGCGGUGAAAUGCAUAGAUAUGACGAAGAACACCGAUUGCGUAGGCAGCUGACCAGACCGCAAAUGACGCUCAUGCACGAAAGUGCGGGGAUCGAACAGGAUUAGACACCCUGGUAGUCCGCACAGUAAACGAUGAAUACUUGUUUUCGGCGAUAUAAUGUCGGAGGCAAAGCGAAAGCGAUAAGUAUUCCACCUGGGGAGUACGCCGGCAACGGUGAAACUCAAAUGAAUUGGCGGGG
Molecule: ribosomal RNA, 392 nt
Filed under: uncultured bacterium
Lineage: Bacteria
Description: partial 16S ribosomal RNA
Rfam family: Bacterial small subunit ribosomal RNA
Source: RNAcentral